UUGACCAGUCUGGUCUUGAACUCCUGACCUCAAGUGAUCCGCCUGCCUUGGCCUUCCAAAGUGUUGGGAUUACAGGUGUGAGCCACCUCGCCUGGUCUGCAGCUUCAUUUGUAAUUGUCCCAAACUGGAAGCAGCCUAAAUGCCAGUCAGCAGGACUACGCCCAAGCAAGGUUUGAUGCCUAUUUCCACCAGAAGAGGAAGCUUGGGGUGUGACUGUGGGGAGGACUCCAUCCACCUCAUCACUGGACUGCAUGGGGAGGCAGCAGAGCGGGGUCCCCUCUGUGCUUCGACUACUGCUCCUGUGGCAGGAGGCUUUGGGUGGCUCACUACUGAACACGUGUAUGAUACUAAAGACGGUAUUAAAAUGGAGCGACGUUUAUUUCAUCUCUUGUUUACGAUUUCACUAGGACUCAGAAACGAGAUCGGGAAGCAGAAAUAUAGUGCAAUAGUGCAACAUCUCUGAAUCCUUUUAAUCUAGAGAAGGCAUUUCAUAUUUGGGGGCUAAGGUUUCCAGUCAGAUGAGGCAAACAGCAAGAGUAAGCAGUGUUACUUGCAGGUACUUUGGUUAAUGUUGAUUUAAAUUUUCAUGAAUGUGCUGGUGAACACUGUGACCAGGCUUUUGUAGAUGGCUAUGUGUUAUAGACGGUGCUCACUCCCAAGGGACGGCAAGUGAGCAGAGAUGUACUGCGAAGUCGCCAGUCACUGCUGCAAGGUGGCCUCUGCCUGGGGCCUCCGGAAGCUGCUCCUCUACCCUCUUGGUCCCAUGGCUGAAGCUGGAGCAGCGGAUUGCUCUGGAGCAGCCAAGGCCGCCUGCGUGUGGAGCAGAGCUCUCCCCUCCUGCUGGGCGUGUGUGACACUGAUGAGUUUCACUGUACUGCAUGUGACUUCUCCCCUGCCCUUCCUCCUGAUGGAGUGCAGACAGCCAUGCGUGGCCACGGGGGCAGUGUGAGGACCUCCGUGUCUCCCGGCUCCCCUCCCAGGGGAGCCAGCUGCUUGACCUAGCUCUUUGGGCCUCUCCUGCCCUCUGCUCUGCCUGGAGUGUCGGAUCCUGUGAGUAGGCUGGGCCGCCCCUGGGCAGGGUUCUCCAAGGGCCCGGUUUCCCGGCCCUUACCUUUCCUGAUGCCCCUGACAUCAUCAUUCUUGUGGGAGACAGCAGCCUGUAUGUGGUGUGGGGCGUGGAUCGAGUGUAGCUGUGAAAUCCAUAUAUAUGAAAUGUCCCGCGGGAUACAGUCUUAGCUGACUUUUUUUUACUCUGAACUCUGAAUUGUUUUUUGUGCAUAUAUUUCUGCUACCACAGAGAUUGUACUAUACAAAUAAAAAAAUAAAAAC
RNAcentral lists this long non-coding RNA (1329 nucleotides) under Pan troglodytes (chimpanzee). RNAcentral describes it as "long non-coding RNA NONPTRT003110". The record is from RNAcentral. Lineage: Eukaryota; Metazoa; Chordata; Mammalia; Primates; Hominidae.